AAUUGAACCAGUCCCAUUGAAACGCGCCGCGGCUACCUACCGGCUUAGUGUGGACUAAAAUAUAAUAUGAAUGCAUUCAACAAGCUCGUGCAAAAUUUACCCACACGAGCCAUUUUUACGAAGAAGUGGAGAAGGCGGAAGGCCCGAUCCUUGGCCAUGGCGGAUUAGGGUUAGUUUUUGUUCGUAAAGCGGGAGCCAUCCCAUCAUCAGAUGAGAAAAGAGAAGGUCAAGAUGCCAAGGAGGAAGAGCUUCUCCGGCUUCAAUUUCUCAAUCAGAUUCUUGAAGACCGGAGGGGCUGAAGAUGAUGAGACUAUUAUUCCUUAAAAUUCAUUUGUUAAUGUGUAUCAGUCUGACCAUUGUAUGGAGACAUUGAUUGCUAUUACAGCAUGAGAACUGCUACUGACUCCGUUGUCUGGCCUUCUUGAUCUGGAUUGUGUGAAGGAAGGACUUAGUAUCUGUGGUGGAGAGAGGAGCCGGUUUUGGAGAGGAAAUGGAUGAAAUGGAUGUUAGACGAAGCUACAUAAUUUUCUCAUAAACAGCAAAUGGGAAAAAAAGAGGCGGGAUAUGGGCUGAAAAAGUUGCAGCUGUUGUACGGGAAGGACAUUCUUUACUCUGAAAGGCCGUUUGGAAGAGAGAAACUAUGAGGACAUCGAGCAAUAUUUGAGGCUUGCCUUGUGCCUCCCUCCGAAGCAAUGCACCGCUUGUGGAGUGAGCAAAACCUCGCAAUGGAGGAAUGGUCCUAGAGGACCGAAGACCCUGUGCAACAUAUGUGGCAUUCGCUAUAUAAAGGAAGGGCCGCGUCUUAACACCAACUUAACUUUGGGUCCAGCAAACUUCAAUAUGGAGGCCGACCGUCAUCCUAAUUGAGCAACAUAAAUUUAGCAAAGCUUCCCAAAGGACUCAUUGAUGCAAGAACUUACACAAGGGAAGCAAUCCAUCAACAAUAACUCGGUUGCAGGAGAAAAUGAUGCACUACAAUUGUUCCUCUUCUCCCUCCUGCUGGAAGAAGAGAAUGUGGAUAUGGUGUUUUGUAGGCGACUGCUGCAACUGGCAAUAAAAUUUCAGAAUCGUUCAUGGUAUUGAAGCUCAUGUAUGAGCAAGUCCAUGGAAUUGUUUCCCUUGUCAUGAUUCUGGCCGGCACUUUUUCUAUUGUUGUGUUAGACAAAAGAAGGGACUACAGAUGGGUCUUUGCACUCAUGCCAUGGCUCUCUUUGCCUCCUCCCCUAAGAAAUCUUUUUGAGAUAUUUUUUUUUUUAUAAUAUUUCUGAAUGAUCUAUCUAUAAGAAAAAUAUUCAGGAAAAGACUAACAGAAGCCUUAAAAUUAUCAGAACUUUUUGAGUUGGAUUGACGGUGUUGGCGUGUUGCUGCACAGCCAUGGCUCUCUUUUCCUCCCUUACUUCCCUCCAAUCCCCAUCCUUCCCUCCAAAGCCUCCCAAAGACCCACCCGCCUCGGUCGCUCCUCCUCUAUGAAACCAUCCCUUCCCUCUCCCUCACCCUCAUCAAAAGAGAAAGAUUUAUCCUUCGUCACCUCCCAUUCCCCCUCCGCCAAGUCCAAGCCCAAACCCUCCGCCCGCUCUCCCCACCGCCGCCGUUGCCGCCCCCCCCCCCUUCUCUCUCAACCCCGACCUUAAACAUCUCUCCCUCCUCUUCCGCCUUCUCCGCCGCCCUUUCAGAAGCCUUCCUCCUCCCUCCCUUCCAAGAAAACGCCGUAUUCGUCCUCAACUCCCUCUGCUCGUGGCCCAAAGCCCUCCAAUUCUUCGACUGGCUUAAGACCCACGGCAGCUAAUUCCCCCCCGACACCACUCUUUACCAUGUCACAUGAGGUCGCUACGCGACGGCCGGCAGCACGGCCUCGUCGAGCGCCUCGCCUCUGCUCGACAACGUCACCUACUCCACCAUCGUCACCUCCGUCAGGUGGUGCCGCCGGUUCGACAGGGCCGUCGAGUGAUUCGGGAGGGUUUACAGGACCUGCCUCAUCCUCGAUGAGGUCACCUACUCGGCUGUCCUCGUGUGCUCAAUUGGGCAAGAGGGAGGAGGCGGUCUCCCUGUUUGGGAGGGCCCGGGCUGGAGGGUGGACGCCGGACCCGGUCGCCUCCUCGGUGCUCGGUAAAUUAUUCGGUGAGGCUCAGGACUAUGAUGGGAUUCAGUAUUUGUUACGGGAGAUGAAGAGUCCAAUCUAGUGGGCUACAACACGCUGUUGGAAGCAAUGGAUAUUGGAAGGCUGGGAAGCCGGGGAUUGCAGGGAGCCUGUUCGAGUAAAUGGUUUCGGCUGGCUUGUCCAAGGAUGAGAAGACGCUGGCUGGCUGCCUGCAUUGGGGCUGUAGGAGCGGAUGAGGUCCAACAAAUGGCCGAUGGAUUUCAUCCUCGACAGCACAUUGUUGAGCAUGUGCACCGAUCUUGGGUUGGAUGAAGAGGCCGAGAAGCUGUUUGAGGAUAUGACGCCGAGAAGCUGUUUGAGGAUAUGAAGCAGCCCGGGCAGGGUACUCGCCUGGAUUGUUGGAGCUAUCCUGCUGAUUAACAUUUAUGGGAGUGGCGGGAAGGCAGGGAGGAUAGUGGAAUUGCUUGAAGAGAUAUCGGAGGGCGGACUCGAGCCGAAUCCUAUGAGCUAUUUGAUUCAAUGCUUGGAGAAGGCUGAAAUUCGAGACUUCCGUGGAGAGAGGUGCUAUACCGGAUGACUGGCUUUGUGGAUGCUUGCUGUCGCUUGUGGCUUUGUGCGAAUAAGGGGUGAUGGGGAUUGUGCUCACAUUCUUGGAGAAGGAUAGUCAAGGCUGGUUGGGUUGGUUAAAAAUGCUUUGUAAGGAAGAAGUUAGCUUCGAUGAAGUUAAAGAAGAAUUCCGAGGGUCCCUGAAUGAGGCUACUGAGGAGGUUCGGAGGCCCUUAAAGAUGCAUGUAGAAACCACAGUACUGAAAUGUAGAUUCAUGAGGCUUUUGUGUC
This is a non-coding RNA of Phoenix dactylifera (date palm), 2935 nucleotides long. The record is from RefSeq and is a predicted model, not a curated record. NCBI's taxonomy places the organism in Eukaryota, Viridiplantae, Streptophyta, Magnoliopsida, Arecales, Arecaceae.